Molecule: long non-coding RNA, 874 nt
Organism: Zea mays
Lineage: Eukaryota; Viridiplantae; Streptophyta; Magnoliopsida; Poales; Poaceae
Exons: 4
Source: RefSeq, a predicted model, not a curated record
AACAUAGAAAGAAGAAAAAGGAAACAAUACUCUAUCUCACUCACUUUCCUCCUCCUCUACUCUCCUCCCUUGUGCCCAUGUCGCCGCCUUGUUCUUGAUCUCAAAUCCAAAACCUUCUUUCCAAUCCACAUCGAUAGAACCAAAUCAUCUCACUCCCAAAUCACUUGCCAUCACAAGCUAUAAGCAUCGGUCUUUGAAGAUGUUAGUAGUGAUAGGACAACAACGGUGGAAAAGAUACACAACAGGAGUAGUGACCUCGAUCCACAACAUGUCAUCAAUUUGAAGAGAUAGUAGUUUCCUUCUGUGAGAAAGUGAAGUUCAGUUCCAUGUCGGUAUCUUCCUGACUUAAAGAAAGUAGGACUAUCUCGAGAUAAAGUUGUUAGAGCGAGGUAUUGCAAGGAUGGAUUCGAGAACGGUGUUCAGAACGACGCUUGUCCGCCUGCUUCUUGCUAUAUUGGUGGCGGUCAAUCUGCUAUUAGAUAUGACACAUGCCAUUCGACAGAUAAGACAAAAAGCUGUGAGGCUGAGGUCAAGGCGCGGGGCCCUGCGGAAACUGCCGAUGCUGAUGACGCAGGCAAUGCAAUGGUAGUAGCUCCAUUCCUGGCUCUGGUUUCCUGUGAAACCAGACGUUGGCCCUGUUUAUUUCGGCUUUUCGCAGCUUUUAGCCACCAGAAGCUGCUGUGGACAGCCAAACACUCAGCUUUUCAGCCAGCUUCUAUAAAAUUCGUUUGGGUAAAAACCAUUCAAAAUCAACAUAAACAUAUAAUCGGUUGAGUCGUCGCAAUAGUAGUAAUCUGUCACUUUAUAGAUCCUGAGUCUUAUGGACAAUUUUAUCUUCCUCCACACGUAAUCCUAAUGAUACUCAGAUUUUCUA